GAUGAAGAACGCAGCGAAACGCGAUACGUAAUGUGAAUUGCAGAAUUCAGUGAAUCAUCGAAUCUUUGAACGCACAUUGCGCCCCUUGGUAUUCCAUGGGGCAUGCCUGUUCGAGCGUCAUUUGUACCUUCAAGCUUUGCUUGGUGUUGGGUGUUUGUCUCGCCUCCGCGUGUAGACUCGCCUCAAAACAAUUGGCAGCCGGCGUAUUGAUUUCGGAGCGCAGUACAUCUCGCGCUUUGCACUCACAACGACGACGUCCAAAAGUACAUUUUUACACUCUUGACCUCGGAUCAGGUAGGGAUACCCGCUGAACUUAAGCAUAUCAAUAAGCGGAGGA
This 337-nucleotide unclassified non-coding RNA is filed under the name soil metagenome. Its description in RNAcentral is "partial contains 5.8S ribosomal RNA, internal transcribed spacer 2, and large subunit ribosomal RNA". The stretch from base 1 to 120 matches the Rfam family "5.8S ribosomal RNA", at positions 35 to 154 of the family's 154-position model. The record is from RNAcentral.